GACGAACGCUGGCGGCGUGCUUAACACAUGCAAGUCGAACGGAAAGGCCUCUUUCGGUGGGUACUCGAGUGGCGAACGGGUGAGUAACACGUGAGUAACCUGCCCUUGACUUUGGGAUAACUUCAGGAAACUGGGGCUAAUACCGGAUAGGAGCUCCUGCUGCAUGGUGGGGGUUGGAAAGUUUCGGCGGUUGGGGAUGGACUCGCGGCUUAUCAGCUUGUUGGUGGGGUAGUGGCUUACCAAGGCUUUGACGGGUAGCCGGCCUGAGAGGGUGACCGGCCACAUUGGGACUGAGAUACGGCCCAGACUCCUACGGGAGGCAGCAGUGGGGAAUAUUGCACAAUGGGUGGAAGCCUGAUGCAGCAACGCCGUGUGCGGGAUGACGGCCUUCGGGUUGUAAACCGCUUUCGCUCAUGACGAAGCUUUGUGUGACGGUAGUGGGUAAAGAAGCACCGGCUAACUACGUG
RNAcentral lists this ribosomal RNA (467 nucleotides) under uncultured bacterium. RNAcentral describes it as "partial 16S ribosomal RNA". It matches the Rfam family "Bacterial small subunit ribosomal RNA", at positions 28 to 507 of the family's 1533-position model. The record is from RNAcentral.